Molecule: long non-coding RNA, 8024 nt
Filed under: Equus caballus (horse)
Lineage: Eukaryota; Metazoa; Chordata; Mammalia; Perissodactyla; Equidae
Description: lncRNA (ENSECAG00000048618.1)
Source: RNAcentral
CCCAGAGUUCAUAAUUGCUUAGGUUUUUGCACAUGUUUUAACAUGCCUUUCCGUGCGAGCUUCCGCAUGGUCACACCUGUCAGUUUCUCAGCCUUCUUUUCUCCCUGGAGAAGGUGCUCUGGAGCCCCCAAACGUGUGCCCCGCAUAAGGCUGCCCUUCCGGCUGCCGCGGGGCUCCCGUCCGGGACUUUCCUCUGCCUCCCCCUGUGAUGGAGCUCAUGCUUCUGUAUCUCGAAGCUUCAUCUUUCUGCUCACCACCCGGUCUCAGUGGAGCACGUUCUCUGUAACAUCCUGAGACGCCUUAUUCUGCUCUCGUGUUCCGUUCAGGAUCUGCUUGAAUAUGGAAUCUUGGUUUGGGAAUUAUUUUUACAUAGAAUUUUGUGGGCAUUUUCCCACUCAGUUCUGGUUUCCACGCUGCCGUUGAGAAGUCUGACGCCAUUCAGAGUUUUGAUCCUAUUUUAUGACCUGAUUUUCUUCUCUCUGGAUGCUUUCUUCCUUGGUGUUCUGAAAUGUCACAAAAGUAGGCCUUUGUUCUUUUACUGUGAGGAUAGUUGGUGUGGCCUUCAAUCUGAGGACUCACGGCCUUCAGCUCUGGGAAAGAUUUUGGUAUUAUUUCUUUGAUAAUUUCAUUCUCGUGAUUUUCUCUGUGCUGUCUUUCUGAAACUCCUAUUUGUCAAAUAUUGGGCCUCCUGGUCUCAUCAUCUAACUCUUUAAUUAGAAAAAAUCUCUUCUUGCACAUUUCUUUGAAUUUUUGUACUGCUUUCUGGGAAACUUUAUUUUCCAACGCUUUUAUCUUAAAUUUUUAUUGUUCUAUUUUUAACUUUCAGGCAUUCGUUUUCUCUAAUUGUUUCACGGAUGCAAUAUCUUUUCUCAUCUCUGAAGAUACUGAUGAUGUGGUCUCUGAAGUUCUCUUCUCUUUGCAAAGCUUGUACUUGGACUAGUUAUCUGGUACCAUGUAACAAAUUACCCCCAAGCGCAGCAGCUUAAAACAGCAAAUGUUUUUUGCCUCGAGUUUCUGUGGGCCAGGAAUCUGGUAGGGCCUGUCUGGGUGGGGACCUCUCACGAAUUUGCAGUCAGUGUGUCAGCCAGGGCUGGAGUCAUUUAAGCCGUGCCUGGGGAUGCAGGGUCUGCCUCCAGGCUCAGUCACGUCGAUGGCUGCAGGACUGGGUCCCUCACCAUAUGGGCCUCUCUGUAUGGCUACUUGACGUGGCACUUGGCUUUCCCCAAAGUGAGCAAUGGGAAGGAGAGAACCAGGAUGGAAGCUGCAGUGUUUUUUGGAACCUAAUCUCAAAAGUAACUAUCAUCUCUUCUGUCAUAUUCUGUUGGUCUCGCAGACCAACCGUGGUGCAAUGGGGGAGGGGUCGGCACACGCGCAUGAGUCGCGGGAGGCCACCAACUCAGAGAAGGCUGGCUACCACCGCACUUUUCUGAAUUUUCCCCUGUUUGCUGUUUUGGUCUCUGUUGUCCAUGUUGGAGGUCUUUCUCAAAUGUCGGGUGCUCUCUGUCCUUUCAUAUUUAAGCGUGAAACACACAAGCUGUCUGGAGGCUGUGUGGACCUGCCUACGGGUGGGUCGGGGUGGUUUGAGCAGGAGGAUUUUAAGGGCCAGGACUGGAAGUGGCUCGUGUCACUUCUGCCCACAACCCAUUGGCCACAUGGCUCCAGCCUACUGCGAGGGAGGCCGGGAAACCAUGGGGGCGCACGCAAGCUCGGGGAGCAGCCCAGACCCUGUGGAAGCCACAUCGGCGCCUCUGGGGGAGCCCUCGAGCCCCAGAAUCAGGAGAAGCAGCCAGCGCCCUCCCAGCUCCAGCCUGGCGGGUGGACGGGUCCCAUGGUGAGGGCGUGGAGGGGUGCCCGCAGUUUGUGGGGCUCGCUGGGCAUUUGAAAUGCACAGUCUCUGUAAGAAACUCUGAGGUGUGGCUACGCCUGUCCCCAUUUUGCUGCUCAGAAGUUUGGAGAGGUCGGUAACCAGAAAGCAGAAUGCAAAGCCAGGCCGCCCCCUUGCACACCUCCCCCGCUGGAUUCUUGUGUGAACUGUCUCGGGUGGACAAGGGACGUUUGUGAGUCUUGACUGCCGGCCUGGGCUACCACCAGCAAGGCCUCCAUCUCUGCACAUGAUCCUCACUCCAGCCUGUCCAGUGGGCACGGUUCCUGGGUCCCUCUCGGCCAUGAGAAGAGCUCACCUCAGACGUCCCUGACGACACCCAGGGGUCCAUCCAGUUAGCAUCACCCUGCCCUGCGACGGCCUGUGUGCUGACUCUAGAGUCGGUUUCUCCUGCGGGACGAGCUCUGCCAUCGGCCGCCGCACCCCUCGUGGUUGGCGCAGACCUGCUGCAUAGACACGUGAACGCAGGGGCGGGUGACGCGUGAGUGAUGCUUGUGUGAGUGUGACGACUGAGUGGCUUGCCCGGUCACCAGUCCCUCAGCAGUGGCGCCAGGAUGCCUGGGGAGCAGGGUGGGGCCCCCUCCGACAGGUGGGUCUGCCCCUUGGGGCGGUGUGGUUGGCUCACUGCUCUGCACGGGUCGGGAGGAGGGUCCUAGCUCAGAUGCUGUGUGAGGAGUCCCCUAGGGGUGGGGCGCCUGGCGGCCCGGGCAGCCUGUGAAGACAGGAACUCGAGGGUGGAGGCGCCCUGUCCCCACUGAGAAUGCAGACGGCUGUACCCGACUCAGCCCCCAGCCCCAGGUGGGCUGGAGGACCCCAUGAGUGUGGGUCAUCUGGGGGCAGCCUGGGGUGUAGACCCUUCAGCUGUGGGAAACCUAGGCGUGGCCCUGGGGGGCUUGUGGGGAGACCUCUGGGCGGGCUCUGUCUUUGGGGCUGGAGGGAAGUAAUGGAAGAGGUUGUGGGAUAUUGUAAUAUUGUGUUAAUAAUGUGCAUUCUGACUGUGGCUCAGGGAGAACCUGUUUCAUACUGAACACUAUUUUGGGGUGGGUGGGUUCUUUUCUUCUUCUUUUUUUUUUUGGUGAGGAAGAUUUGCCCUGAGUUAACAUCUGUGACAGUCUUCCUCUAUUUUGCGUGUAGGACACCACCACAGUACGACUUGAUGAGGUCCAUGCCCGAGAUCCAAUCCUGAGAACCCCGGGCUGCCAAAGCGGAACAUGCUGGACUUAACCAUUACGCCACGGGCUGGCCCACUGGGCGGGUUCUGAGUUAUGAUAAUUUGAGUGGCAUGUACUCCCCCUUCCUUCCGCGGCUCCGAGUGGGCUGCCCGUUGCCCUCGCCAUUGCCCUCUCCUUUGGGUCAGCCCCUGGCUCCUCCCUCCUGAGUGCACCAGAAGAGGUGGGCCCACCGCUGAGUACGGGCUUCCGGGCCGUUCUGCAGGUUCGGGGAGGGGUCUGCACGGCUCCGACAGUGGAGCAGUGCGCGGGGCGUGCAGAUCUCCCUCAGUGCUCCUUUUCCGAUUGUCACGUGUGCGGGGGUGGGGGCCAGGUGGUCCAGCAUGGGGCGGAACAGAGGAAGCCACCACGCAGCCUGUCUUUCCUUCAACAGCUUUAUUGAGAUACAAUCCACACACCACACGGUUCACACGUCUCAAGUGUGCGAUGCAGUGGCUUUUAGUACAUUCACGGAGUUGUGCAGCUACCACCACAGGAGGGCCUGGACCAUUCCAUCACCACCAGGAGAAACCCGUGCCCUGUCGCUGUCACUCCCCAUCCUCCCCUCCCCCAGCCCCUGGCCACCGCUGAUCUACUUUCUGCCUCUGGCUUUGCCUGUUCCAGACAUUUCCCGUAAAUGGAAGUGGCCCCUAUCUCGCCUCAAUUUCCUGAAAAACAGUUGGGGGUUGUCUCUGCUCCUCUCUUGGCCCCGCUAGUCCUCCCCUGGGAGGCCUCCACUCAGGACCAUCUGGGGAGGAGGGGCCGGCAGGAGUUGGGGGGCAGGGUGGCCCAGGCGAAUGGUGAGCAGCGCGGAUGGUUGAGGAGCAGACUGAGGUCGGGGUGGGUGAGCUCUUGGAGCCUCCCUGGCCUGGCCGGUGCCGGUCUGGGGGCCCACUUCAGCUGGAGGAGGCAGGGCCGGUGCUGGUGGUGCUUUGCGGUCUGUGCCCCUUUGCUGCCCUUGCGGGCCGUCUGCACGACCCGGGGCUCCUGAGGCUGCGGGAGGUGGCUGGCUGCUGACUCUGGGCCGAGACUUGCUGGCAUCUGCGAGCGACAGCGUAGGGAGAGGCGGCUGUGUUUAGAAAUAAUCACUCCGUCUUGCACAGACGCAUUGAGGUGUCCUCCCCUGCAGUUGCAGGAAGUAGCUCGAGGCGUUGCCGAUGGAGCAGCCGUGACUUUGCUGCCGGCUUGUCCUGCUCCCUUGCAGACGUGGGGCUGCGGUGGCGCGUUUGAGGUCCGCCCCUGCCGCUGGAGUCAGAGCUGCGCCCUCUCUCUUACUGAGUGCUGGUCCACGUAUGACGGACGGGUGACGGAGUGUUUAUCCAGCUUCCUGCUGAGGGACACCUGGUUGUCCCCAGUUUUUGGCGAAUGUGAGGGAAGCUGCUAGGAACGUCCCGGUAACACACGUCCUGUCUUUUUCUCUGGGGAGGUGGGGGCUGCCAGAGGGUUCUGAGCAGAGGAGGGACGUGGUCCGCCUUGGGCUAGCCUCUGACUGCCGGGCUGAGACAGGACUCAGGGCCGGGGUGCAGGCUGGGCCGGGCCGCAGUCCUGUGAUGGAGCCUGCAGCACAGUCCACAGGUGGGCCUCGGGGCUUCUCGCUCAGCUCAGAGAUAGGCUGCCCGAGAGGGGUCCAGGAAAAGCCGUUUCCUCUCAUCUGUAGAACGGGAGGAGCCCUCAUUUAUUCCCAGCACGUGGUGCAUCCCCUCUCCUUCCACGUCACAGCCCCGGUCCCUGCAGGGCCCUCGUUUGUCUCAGGUUGCCUCCAGAGCGGGCAGCGGAGCAGAGGGCCCCGUGCGCAGGUGUUAUGCUCAUCCCUGCAAGGUGAUGCCUGUCUGCUCUGGUCUGAGGGUUUGUCUCCCCCCAGAUUCAUAUGCUAAUUCCUAACCCCCAAGGUGAUGUGUAUGAGGCGGGACCUUUGGGGGGUGAUUAGGUCAAGAGGGUGGAGCCUCGUGAAUGGGAUUAGUGCUCUUAUUAAAGGGACCCCGGAGAGCUCCCUUGCCCCUUCUGCCCUGUGAGGAGGCACAGCAAGAAGAUGCCGUCUAUGCACCAGGAAGCAGGUCCUCACCAGACACCGAAUCUGCCGGGGCCUGGAUCUCAGCCUCCAGCCUCCAGAACUGUCAGCAAUAAAUGUCCGUCGUUUAUAGGUCACCCUGUCUACGGUGUGCAAGCAGACUGAGACAGCACCGUUACGGAGUAACUGCAGGCUUCACAUAAGAGAUGAAGCGAGAAGGCGUCCAGGCUUCCCUUCGGACCCCUACCUCCCGAGACAGAACUGAGGCCCCGUGUGCUUGGAGGGAAAGGAUGCUCCGGGCUGGCUGGGCUCCCUGGUGGACCCAGAGCACAGGCUGUGGUCUCCGCUUGGAGAUGGUUGUGCUGCCGGAAGAAGCAGCUGGUCUUUUGUUGGAGAAGAAACAUGGGGAUGAUGAGCACAGGUGGCCAACGUCGUCAUGGAGGGACUCGGUCUCUCUCCGCAGCAUCCAGAGCAGAGGAAGGAGCUCGGGGUAGAAGGCCGGUCCUGGUCCUGAAGCCACCCUGUUCCUGAGGGUCCUUCAUCGCUGCUCGUGUCCUUGCAGGAGGACAUGGUGCUUGGGCCCUACAACGCCCGGAGGAGCUGCCGGGAUGCCGAGCGCCUUGCAAGGGAACCGGAGCCAGAGUGAUGGGCGUCCUGGGGGCUCCUGGUGUGGAAAGGGCCUCUGUCGGCCGCCUGCUGGCAGCUGCUUUGUCUCCCUCCACUGGUUCUCUGCUCUGACUCCAUUUCUAAGGCUUUUCUUAAAUCAGCCCCUGGCAGGUGAGAUGGCUUGGAGUUUUAUGAGAUUUUACACUCCCCAGAGGUGAAUAAUAGGGACUUUUCAUCACUGAGUUUCCUGACAACACCUUCCAUUGAACCAUCAAUUUCCGAACAACACCUGGGAUAUGCAAACUCUGUUUUCAAGCACGUCCUGGGGCUGGGAUACGUGACAAGAGGUGGAGGGCGAGUUUCCUGAGAAAAAAAUCAGCCGUGCGUUUUGGGUACAUAAAAGACAGGUUGAGGUUUCUUUUCAUGGGAAGGAGGUGGGGGGACUGAGGGGGGAGAUAUUGAAACCCACCAGCCGUGAAAGAGUGGAGAGAGGAGAGAGCAGGAGAUGAAGAGGAGAAAGUGAAGUGAGAGGGAGAACGAGCGAGAGAGCGAGCGGGAGACGGAGACGACCGGCUAAUCAAAGAGGCAGGUACAGGAGGUGAAAUGCUUUCACAGGAGGCGCAGGAGGGUCUGUCUCAAUGGAGGAUGGCAAGUGGUUGUGGAUGCUGUGUGAGUCUCCGACAACAUGCGUCACACUGCUGCACACAAACCGUUCACGUCUGUGCUCACUGGACGUCGGUUCCGGGCCCAAGUUGGGGCCUCUUGCCACCCCCUCUACCUGGCCCCAUCUGCCUACCAGGUGGGGACCCCUCCCCCGUUAGGCGAGGCUUUGUCACGAGCGGCCAGUUCCAGCAGGGGCGGCCACCCCUCCUCCCCUCACCCCUGCCCAGGUGGCUGCUGAGUCCAGGCAGCAAGCGCUUAAUUGAGAGACAUACGAACUGGAGGAUGUCAGGAGGGUGGGAAAGCAAGAUGCCCAGGGCCUGGGCCCCAGGAAGUAAAGGAAGCAGAGAGAAGAGCGGGAUGAGAGAACCAAGUCUGGGCGCCCUUCCUGCCCCUGGGGUCCUCCUCGCUCUCGGGAGGCCCCUCCAGCUUCCGUGGCUGGGCCGGGCUGUUGGUGGACCCAGCAGCAGAAGGAGGGCAGUAAGUCGUAGCCGAGGGAUGGGGCAGCCAGAACGGGUGAGGCUGCAGUGAGCAGAGACCUGGCCGUAGCCAGGAAGGAGUCCAGGGUCUGCAGGGGAUGAGUUGCGAAGCUCAGCCCUGGGCUGCGUGUGGGAGGAGCUGGCGUCCAGGUCCUGGUGAUGCUGAGCUGGGCGGGGCCCCCCUUGCACCUGGAUUUGAUAUGAGUUACAGAGGAUGCCUGGUUCCCUUAUCUACCAACGUGUGCCGUUCAUGCUGUGGGCACGCAUGUGGCUUGCGUCAGCUCUAUUUCUGGCCAUUUCAGUUCUAGUUUUCUCCUACACACAUUGGUGCAAACUGGGGAACAGAAAGACGUUUUCUGCUCUCUAACUCACGUUCCCUACAAAAUGGUGUUUCCUGGGAGUAGCUUCUUGUGGGCGCGUUCUCCAGCAGAGACGGGCUGGCUUAUAAAGUGAGACUCCAGGGACACUGGCUGUGUGGCAAAGAACUUAACCUUGUCUAGGGAGAGGUCUGGCCUUUGCCUUCAGCCCUGGAAGGUAAUCUCCAAACCCUUGGAAGGUCCUGGUCUCUGUUUGCCUGGGGGCUCUGGGUCACACUGACAAAGUGAUUUAAGGUGGGGCUCAGGGUCACGUGGUAUCAACUCAACCUCUAGAGGAGCUGGAGACCGAGGUCAGCCUCCUGGGCACCAAACGGGCCUCCUUGGUGAACCCCAAUAAAGGCUCUGGACACCAAGACUCGGGGACCUUCCUGCCUGGCAAUGCUCCGUGGGUGUCGUCACACAUGGAUGCCAGGGAUGCGAUGCUGUCCUGACUCCAUGGAGGGAGCAAAACAGAAUCCCUGCAUGUUGUAUUUUCCUGGGCUCUUCGGUUGACUUUACUCCACGUCUUUUCACUGUAAUAAACCAUAACUGUGAACAUAGCAGAUUUCCUGAGCUCUGUGAGUCCUGCUAGCAAAUUGCCAAACCUGGGGGUGGUUUUGGGGACUCUCGAACCUGCACCUGGUGUCAGAAGCGAGGGUGGCCUGUGCAUGGUUUCCUGACUUCACACGGGCACCGUAGGGUGUUCCCUCGGUCUCUGCACCCCCUCACUACUCCUGGCCAACAGUAGCUCUCCAGCUCAUCUCCCUGUUUCCUCUCACCCAGUUUGUUCUCUCGCUGCAGCCAGCGUGAGCUUUUAAAACCGCU